CUUAUGUCUUGUGAUUUUGAAGGUCAAAAAAUAAAGACCAACCCACUUGAAGAGCAAACCAUGCAAUUUCUUCCUUUUAAAAUAAAAUACCAAAUCCCAAAAGAGUUUGACAAAAAAAUAUGAGGCCCAUGUAAAAGAGGCCGUCAUGAAUAAGCCCAAUAACAAUAGAAGUCGUUGACCAUCUGUCGUUGGAAUCUCCAGUUUUGGCGCCGCCGUUAGCUCCAUCCGGUGGAAUCUCCGCAUUUAGUAAGGAACGUGCAUUUGAAUUGAGGAAAAAGAACAGGUUUCUUUCUUCCAGGUCAAAGCUCACUGAGCAUUAGGAAAGCUAUCGUCCUUAAAUCUGUCUCUGGAUCUGAUGGACGCUCUUCACCAGAGCCCAAAGUUUUCUUUAUAGUGUUAUUCUCCUCAGAUCACAAAGGUAGUCUAGAUAAAACCUCCUUUGUGUCGACGUCUGUAUGCUAAUAUUGACUAAAAGUAAUUAAGUCACUUGAAUUGAAGGUAAUGUUGUCACAUUGUGGUGAAACCAUCCAUGUGCAGUUUAGUUACAUCUCUGGCAAAUGACUACUUAUCAGUAAUCAUUGCACAUUUUUUCUUAAUAGUAUCAACAAAAUUGCUUUUAGCAUCAAAAUAUCAUUUCCAACUGCUACUGUCUUAUACGGUGUUAUGCUGCUAAAAUGUUGCACAUUUUGGUCCCAAAGUUUCAAGCAUUGUAUCACAGAAGUCAAACAACCGACAAAUCUUUUCAUAUUCAACACCCCCCCCCCCCCCAACAAAAUGGUAGAUAAGAGCACCCCUACAUUUCCAUCAAUUUCAUUUGUCAGAGACGUGUAAUAGUUGAAAAAACCUUAAUGUUUUGACAGGAGGAUGAUGUUCAGCACUAACCACCAAAUGGGUCUAUGUUGCUUCUGUCUGAAAGUUUAAGCAACUAACCCUACUGUACAAACGUUUUGACAUUCGACCAA
Lycium ferocissimum is the source of this 962-nucleotide long non-coding RNA. RefSeq lists it as uncharacterized. The transcript has 2 exons. Lineage: Eukaryota; Viridiplantae; Streptophyta; Magnoliopsida; Solanales; Solanaceae. The record is from RefSeq and is a predicted model, not a curated record.